RNAcentral lists this ribosomal RNA (397 nucleotides) under uncultured bacterium. RNAcentral's name for it is "bacterial SSU rRNA". It matches the Rfam family "Bacterial small subunit ribosomal RNA", at positions 29 to 416 of the family's 1533-position model. The record is from RNAcentral.
UAUCAACGCUGGCGGCGUGCCUAACACAUGCAAGUCGAGCGCGAAAGGGGAGUAAUCCCCAAGUAGAGCGGCGAACGGGUGAGUAACGCGUGGGUGAUCUACCUCCGAGUGGGAAUAACCCCGGGAAACUGGGGCUAAUACCGCAUGACAUCCCUGAGUCACAUCGGGGAUCAAAGCCGGGGACCGCAAGGCCUGGCGUUUGGAGAUGAGCCCGCGUCCGAUUAGCUAGUUGGCGGGGAACGGCCCACCAAGGCUUCGAUCGGUAGCCGGCCUGAGAGGGCGGACGGCCACACUGGGACUGAGACACGGCCCAGACUCCUACGGGAGGCAGCAGUGGGGAAUUUUUCGCAAUGGGGGGAAACCCUGACGAAGCAACGCCGCGUGGAGGAUGAAGGCC